CAGAGGGGAAUAACCCGGCGAAAGUCGGACUAAUACCGCAUAAAAACAGGGGCACCGCAUGGUGAUAUUUGUUAAAGAAAUUCGCUGAUAGAUGGGCAUGCGUUCCAGUUAGGUAGUUGGUGAGGUAACGGCUCACCAAGCCGACGAUGGAUAGGGGAACUGAGAGGUUGGUCCCCCACACUGGUACUGAGACACGGACCAGACUCCUACGGGAGGCAGCAGUGAGGAAUAUUGGUCAAUGGGGCGGGAGCCUGAACCAGCCAAGUCCGCGUGAAGGAAGAAGGACCUAUGGUUCGUAAACUUCUUUUGCAGGGGAAUAAAGUGCAGGACGUGUCCUGUUUUGUAUGUACCCUGAGAAUAAGGAUCGGCUAACUCCGUGCCAGCCGCCGC
RNAcentral lists this ribosomal RNA (390 nucleotides) under uncultured bacterium. RNAcentral's name for it is "bacterial SSU rRNA". It matches the Rfam family "Bacterial small subunit ribosomal RNA", at positions 134 to 518 of the family's 1533-position model. The record is from RNAcentral.